Molecule: long non-coding RNA, 205 nt
Filed under: Vigna radiata
Lineage: Eukaryota; Viridiplantae; Streptophyta; Magnoliopsida; Fabales; Fabaceae
Description: long non-coding RNA (VRAD_LNC005328)
Source: RNAcentral
GAAACCAUAUUCAAUGAUAAUGAUAGUUUGGUGCGUGCUAAUAAACAGAAGCAUUUGCAUAAUCACAUAUGUAGAAGAAUGGAAGAAGAUUGGUAAAAUUUAUAAUUUUGGUAGUUGGGAGUGUAAAGUAAAGCAUGAAAAGGAUAGGGUUAGAUGAAAAAGGUAAAAUUGAGGGAAGUAAAAGUUGUGUGUAUGGGAAUGAUAG